CUUCAACGAGCCGAGCCACAGCGGCCGUUGGACCGGGCGGUCCUGUCCGUAGGUCGCGAGCAGCGCCUGGGCCUC
Molecule: antisense RNA, 75 nt
Filed under: Actinobacteria bacterium OK074
Lineage: Bacteria; Bacillati; Actinomycetota; Actinomycetes
Description: ASpks TB sRNA
Rfam family: ASpks TB sRNA
Source: Rfam by way of RNAcentral